UAACACAUGCAAGUCGAGCGAAGCACUUUUGCUUUGAUUCCUUUCGGGAGGACGAGUGAUUUGACUGAGCGGGCGGACGGGUGAGUAACGCGUGGGCAACCUGCCUCACACAGGGGGAUAACAGUUAGAAAUGACUGCUAAUACCGCAUAAGGCCACAGCACCGCAUGGUGCAGGGGUAAAAACUCCGGUGGUGUGAGAUGGGCCCGCGUCUGAUUAGGUAGUUGGUGAGGUAACGGCUCACCAAGCCGACGAUCAGUAGCCGACCUGAGAGGGUGACCGGCCACAUUGGGACUGAGACACGGCCCAAACUCCUACGGGAGGCAGCAGUGGGGAAUAUUGCACAAUGGGGGAAACCCUGAUGCAGCGACGCCGCGUGAGCGAUGAAGUAUUUCGGUAUGUAAAGCUCUAUCAGCAGGGAAGAAAACUGACGGUACCUGACUAAGAAGCACCGGCUAAAUACGUGCC
This 466-nucleotide ribosomal RNA is filed under the name uncultured bacterium. RNAcentral describes it as "bacterial SSU rRNA". It matches the Rfam family "Bacterial small subunit ribosomal RNA", at positions 49 to 509 of the family's 1533-position model. The record is from RNAcentral.